GAGCCGGUAGCUCAGCCGGUAGAGCAUCGGCCUUUUAAGCCGUUGGUCGUGGGUUCGAAUCCCACCCGGCUCA
Molecule: transfer RNA, 73 nt
Filed under: Fimbriimonas ginsengisoli
Lineage: Bacteria; Bacillati; Armatimonadota; Fimbriimonadia; Fimbriimonadales; Fimbriimonadaceae
Description: tRNA-Lys
Rfam family: tRNA
About the family: Transfer RNA (tRNA) molecules are approximately 80 nucleotides in length. Their secondary structure includes four short double-helical elements and three loops (D, anti-codon, and T loops).
Source: RNAcentral